Cinara cedri is the source of this 1084-nucleotide non-coding RNA. The record is from the annotation of a GenBank genome assembly. Lineage: Eukaryota; Metazoa; Arthropoda; Insecta; Hemiptera; Aphididae.
CAAUAUCGAUAAUCUACUUAUUAAUACAGAUAUUAUAUGUUUAUUAAAUUCUUCUUGCAUUAAAUCAUAUAAAACAUUCUUAACAAUAUUAAUCUGAAAGCAAAUCAAUUUAUUUUAAACUUUUCACUCAUUAUGAGUGAAGAUCUAGAAGAUAAGAUCGGGACUGCAUCAAAAUUAUGAUUUCAUAUAUUCGUUAAAAAUGUAUAUUCAAAACAUAUUAUGUAGGAUAUUUGUCAUCUACGUAUCUAUAAAAAUAGUCUGUUUUAAAAAUAAUUUGAAAAUUGAAUUUGCAUUAAAAUAAUAUUCAGAGUUGCGACGAAACGGGGGUUACGUAAAGGGGUAUAAGUAAGGGGUUAAUUAAAACCACUUUUGAUGGUGUGUGGAGUCAGUGAAUUUUUAGACUUUGGAAAACUAAUAAAAACAAAUAGAAUCAAGUCAAAUAUAUAUAAAAAUAGGGUUUAUUUUAUUUAUAUUGUUUUACCUGUGUCAUGCAAAAGCAUAUCAUAACGAUAAUUUUUUUCGAUUAAUCACUGCAAAGAAUUUUCACUUUAAAAAAGUUAAAUUUAUUGGAUUUUGAAUGUAGUGAAGAAGCUAACUAACAUGAUUUUUUUUUUCAUAAAAGGCUUUUUCAAUUCGUAAACAUGAUUCGAUUUUUUCGUGAGCGAUUUUUUUUCUAAUAUAAUUUUAAUUUGAAAACAUUUUGAGUUACCAAUACUUUUUCCUAAAAUUUGAGGAUUAUUAUUAUUAACAUUAUUAUUUUUUUAAAUAUUUGUCAAAUUAUGAUUUUUCAAAUUCUUCACCAUGUUAUUACCGGAUGUGUGAACUAUAUUCAUAGUAUUCACUAUAUUCAUCCUAUAUUCAUCAAAAAUUGUAUUUUUAUUUGUUCAGGUUUACAGGCAUUUUUUGCCUUCGAAAUAUUUUUAACGGUGUGAGUAUUUUUUAAUAUAUGUAAUAUUAUUUUUAUUGUCGUUUUUUUUCACGACAGUCUGUCGUGGUGGCAUUUUUGAAAAUCGUAUUAGUCGAAAUUUAUUAAGAAACAUGUCUAUAUUAUAAUAUAAACGAGUACCUAUACUGUACACAAACC